Molecule: ribosomal RNA, 360 nt
Filed under: Vibrio harveyi
Lineage: Bacteria; Pseudomonadati; Pseudomonadota; Gammaproteobacteria; Vibrionales; Vibrionaceae
Description: bacterial SSU rRNA
Rfam family: Bacterial small subunit ribosomal RNA
Source: RNAcentral
UCUUGACAUCCAGAGAACUUUCCAGAGAUGGAUUGGUGCCUUCGGGAACUCUGAGACAGGUGCUGCAUGGCUGUCGUCAGCUCGUGUUGUGAAAUGUUGGGUUAAGUCCCGCAACGAGCGCAACCCUUAUCCUUGUUUGCCAGCACUUCGGGUGGGAACUCCAGGGAGACUGCCGGUGAUAAACCGGAGGAAGGUGGGGACGACGUCAAGUCAUCAUGGCCCUUACGAGUAGGGCUACACACGUGCUACAAUGGCGCAUACAGAGGGCGGCCAACUUGCGAGAGUGAGCGAAUCCCAAAAAGUGCGUCGUAGUCCGGAUCGGAGUCUGCAACUCGACUCCGUGAAGUCGGAAUCGCUAGU